UACGAAGGGAGCUAGCGUUGUUCGGAAUUACUGGGCGUAAAGGGCGCGUAGGCGGCUCUACAAGUUGGAUGUGAAAGCCCAGGGCUCAACCCUGGAAUUGCAUUCAAGACUGUAUUGCUUGAAUUCGGUAGAGGUUGGUGGAAUUCCCAGUGUAGAGGUGAAAUUCGUAGAGAUUGGGAAGAACACCCGUGGCGAAGGCGGCCAACUGGACCGACAUUGACGCUGAGGCGCGAAAGCGUGGGGAUCAAACAGG
Molecule: ribosomal RNA, 253 nt
Filed under: uncultured bacterium
Lineage: Bacteria
Description: partial 16S ribosomal RNA
Rfam family: Bacterial small subunit ribosomal RNA
Source: RNAcentral